This 468-nucleotide ribosomal RNA is filed under the name uncultured bacterium. RNAcentral describes it as "partial 16S ribosomal RNA". It matches the Rfam family "Bacterial small subunit ribosomal RNA", at positions 28 to 507 of the family's 1533-position model. The record is from RNAcentral.
GACGAACGCUGGCGGCGUGCUUAACACAUGCAAGUCGAACGGAAAGGCCCUGCUUUUGUGGGGUGCUCGAGUGGCGAACGGGUGAGUAACACGUGAGUAACCUGCCCUUGACUUUGGGAUAACUUCAGGAAACUGGGGCUAAUACCGGAUAGGAGCUCCUGCUGCAUGGUGGGGGUUGGAAAGUUUCGGCGGUUGGGGAUGGACUCGCGGCUUAUCAGCUUGUUGGUGGGGUAGUGGCUUACCAAGGCUUUGACGGGUAGCCGGCCUGAGAGGGUGACCGGCCACAUUGGGACUGAGAUACGGCCCAGACUCCUACGGGAGGCAGCAGUGGGGAAUAUUGCACAAUGGGCGGAAGCCUGAUGCGGCAACGCCGCGUGCGGGAUGACGGCCUUCGGGUUGUAAACCGCUUUCGCCUGUGACGAAGCGUGAGUGACGGUAAUGGGUAAAGAAGCACCGGCUAACUACGUG